Molecule: long non-coding RNA, 501 nt
Organism: Gorilla gorilla gorilla (western lowland gorilla)
Lineage: Eukaryota; Metazoa; Chordata; Mammalia; Primates; Hominidae
Exons: 2
Source: RefSeq, a predicted model, not a curated record
UACUAAAAAUAAAAAAAUUAGCUGGGCGUGGUGGUGGGCGCCUGUAACCCCAGCUACUUGGGAGGUUUAGGCAGGAGAAUCGCUUGAACCCUGGAGGUGGAGGUGGAGGUUGCAGUGAGCCGAGAUCGCGCCAUUGCACUCCAACCUAGGUGACAAAGCUACACGCCAUCUCAAAAAAAAAAAAAAAAAAAAAAAAAAAGGGGUUACAGAAGGUUCCCAGCUCCGGGGCAUCAGCCUGAGUGCGCUUGAGCUGCUCCAAACCUGGCCCUUCCCCACUCCUCUAGCAUCGCCACCCGCAUGGCCCUGGAACUCCCGCGGCGGCGGGGGCGGGCCCGUGCCUGCUGUGCCCCGACUUCCCACACCAGCCGCGCCCACCGCAGGUGGGACUCAGGUCGCGGCGCUUCCCGCCUCAUCCUCGGCUGCAUGGGGCGGGGGGGCUGUUUUUAACGUGCCCGUUUGUACUGAUGCAUGAACUUGUCAAUAAACACAAUUGUUUGUUAA